Molecule: non-coding RNA, 135 nt
Organism: Triticum urartu
Lineage: Eukaryota; Viridiplantae; Streptophyta; Magnoliopsida; Poales; Poaceae
Source: Rfam
CAACUACUCCCUCUAUCCCAAAUUUCUUGUCUUAGAUUUGUCUAGAUACGGAUGUAUCUAAUACUAAAAUGUGACUUGAUACAUCUGUAUCUAGAAAAAUCUAAGGCAAUAAUUUUGGGAUGGAGGGCGUACUUU